GGGUCAGGAGGUUGGUCGUGCCACCGGUACGUACUGGUCUCACUGAUUCCUCCUUCCUGAAGAACCGUAAUGCCAUUAAUUUGGUGUUGCGGGGAAACAGGACUGUUACUUUGAAAAAAUUAGAGUGUUUAAAGCAAGCUAACGCUUGAAUACAUUAGCAUGGAAUAAUGAAUUAGGACGAUCGAUCCUAUUUUGUUGGUUUCUAGGAUUGACGUA
This 216-nucleotide ribosomal RNA is filed under the name Glomeromycotina sp. RNAcentral describes it as "partial small subunit ribosomal RNA". The stretch from base 40 to 216 matches the Rfam family "Eukaryotic small subunit ribosomal RNA", at positions 686 to 864 of the family's 1831-position model. Lineage: Eukaryota; Fungi; Glomeromycota. The record is from RNAcentral.